CUCUUUCUAACACAUAUUCUCCUUUCUCUUUCUAGGUACUAUAAACACUACCAUUCAGAACCCAUAAUCUAAUGGAGAUCGUCGUCGUAUACUGCUGUUCACCGGUACCAAAACUACUUUAAAAAUUUAUCACAAACUCAUCUCGAUCUCUUCUUUCUUAUACUUUAGCUGAUUUCCUCUAAAACUAUCUAGAUCAUUGUAGAUCUACAUUCGAAAGUCGUAACCUCCAUAUUUGCUCUGCUACUUCGAUGAUCGCUGCUUUAAGGUAUAGUCUUAUACUUGCUCUUGUCUAUCUUUCGUUGAAUUUGGAACGUCGAAGCCUUUAGGAAAACUGUUAAACUGAAACCCCAAAAAACCUCUUUUUUUCUUUCACAUUUUUGUUUCUGACUUUCUUUUUUUGUUUCUGAUUCUCUUUUUUAUAGGAGAUGGUUGUUCGACGAAAGGCUGAUGAUGAAG
This 456-nucleotide long non-coding RNA is filed under the name Durio zibethinus. RNAcentral describes it as "long non-coding RNA (DZIB_LNC001608)". The record is from RNAcentral. Lineage: Eukaryota; Viridiplantae; Streptophyta; Magnoliopsida; Malvales; Malvaceae.